This 647-nucleotide long non-coding RNA is filed under the name Notechis scutatus (mainland tiger snake). RNAcentral describes it as "lncRNA (ENSNSUG00000014153.1)". Lineage: Eukaryota; Metazoa; Chordata; Lepidosauria; Squamata; Elapidae. The record is from RNAcentral.
UCCCCCCGGGGGACGGUCGGGGGAGGUCGUGAGCGCGUCUUCGGGGCUUCUCGGCCGGGCCGGCUUCGCGGGGAGGGGGCGGCGGCGGCGGCAGGUAGCGGUGGACGAUGGCGGGCGGCGAUCCCCUGAGCCAGAGCUGGCUGAAGCCGCCGGGGAACGGACUUCUGCUCCGAUGCCAGCCGACAGCUGCGAUGCAACGCAGCUCCCCGAGCGGAGGAAUGAAGCGGAGAACCGGGCCAGGGCUUGCAGCGGCUCUUCUAUAAGAUGCGGCGAGGGGUCGCCCGCUGAUUUGGGGGCUGGCUCGCUUGCAACGACCCGGAGAAAAACUAAAGCGCAUUUCCCCCGCUCCCCCCCCCCCUAUAAUGGGACCGGGCAUCGGAGGUUAUCCCGUCUCCCAGCACAGAGGGAGCCUGCAAAACCUGGUUCAUGAAACCUACGAAGGCAGCGGAAUGGUAACUUCCAGUGGAGGAAAGAACCACUCAAGCACAAAAGAACUAAAGAAAUCAUCGUUUCUAAAACCUUCUUCCAAGAAGCCAGUGAAAAACACAUCUGCGAUUGCAGAAAAGGCUCCUGUAGAGGCCACAGACAGACAGAUAACAGCUCAGUACAAAGAGAAAAAGCAAGUUUACGAAGGGCAUCAACCAAAC